UACGGAGGGUGCGAGCGUUGUCCGGAAUCAUUGGGCGUAAAGGGCGCGUAGGUGGCCCGGUCAGCGUGCGGUGAAAGCUCGGGGCUCAACCCCGAGUCGGCCGUGCGAACUGCUGGGCUCGAGCACUGUAGAGGCAGGCGGAAUUCCGGGUGUAGCGGUGGAAUGCGUAGAGAUCCGGAAGAACACCGGUGGCGAAGGCGGCGCUCUGGACCGAGACUGACGCUGAGGCGCGAAAGCGUGGGGAGCAAACAGG
This 253-nucleotide ribosomal RNA is filed under the name uncultured bacterium. RNAcentral's name for it is "partial 16S ribosomal RNA". It matches the Rfam family "Bacterial small subunit ribosomal RNA", at positions 524 to 776 of the family's 1533-position model. The record is from RNAcentral.